Lingula anatina is the source of this 777-nucleotide long non-coding RNA. The record is from RefSeq and is a predicted model, not a curated record. Lineage: Eukaryota; Metazoa; Brachiopoda; Lingulata; Lingulida; Lingulidae.
UUUACACGUUAUGAAAUAACGUUAUACCAAUUUACGAUUUACUAUAAACGUUUGAUAUGAAGCAGUAGGACAUUUCGGGAUUUUUGAUGACAGAAAGCCUCCAUACAGCAUGGUGUCUUUUCGGUGGAUUGACUUUAUCUGGCUGGACAUGGGGGGCAUGUUUUUGCCAUGGAACAGAGAGAAAAGGGCAGCAACAGGCACGUACAUCUUUUCAUCUUGCUCAGUUGUGCAACAUAUGGAAUGAGACAAGUUGCAGGACCAGUGGCUGUGAACAGCCAAAGACAAGACAGCCAUGGUACACAGGGAACUGGACUUCUUACAGUUCACACACACAGUUUGACAGUUUGUGUCCAGUGUCAUGGUAGUAGCCUGCUUGAUGUGGUCAGUUUGGGUCAGUUUGGGAUGAUGUACAUUGGACCCAAAGUGGAGCAGUGGUCAUUACUUUCCUCAGAUGACCCAUUGCCAUGACAGUAACUGGACUGCUCGCAGUGGUACAACUGGUUUACAUUGUUUGAGAAUAGAUAAUUGGGUUCAAUUUUCUUCCAGUCUCCAUACAGCAUGAUGUCUUUACCUGGCUGGACAUGGGAGACAUCUUUUGUUAACAUGAAAUAGACAGGAAAUGGCAGCUGCAGGAACAUCCUUUAUCAUCUAGUUGUAGAAGACACAGCAAGUUUCAGGACAGCCAUGGUAAUCAGUGGCUGAAGGACAAAUUCCUUGGUUGGCUGAGGUCUUUGAAAGAAGACAGCUGGCCUGUCCUAAGAACAGAGAAACAGCCUU